ACCGGUAUUUGAAAGAAUCACACCACGAGGCAGUGCAUUUAAAAUGGUUAAACACCUGAAUUUAUUAUAAUUAUAAAUGGGUUUUUUUUCACUUGUGGGUUUUCUUUCAGGUGCAUUCUGUAUUUUGGUUGCAUUUGGAGCGGUUGCGGGUUUUGAUCAGUUUUGAUGCGAAUUUACGACAAUCGGCGUUAAGGGGUUAACAGCGUGCAACAGCUUGUGAAAUAGACGAUCUAUACAUCUAGCGGAAAUCCUAUUGGUGUCCUAGCAACCGCGAACGUUUGUACUCAUGGGUCAGCGUAAAAAAAAAAAAAGGUCACAGCUAAUGCUACCGUUCGUUUCAAACGUAUUUUCCUUGACUUUCUAUUGAACCAAGCUUACUAUUUACCAGAGAUGAUCUCCGAAAAGCUCUCUUUGACCUGUGAUAGACUUCUGUCUCACCAGCAGCUCGCCUGUUCUCGUUCUUUUUGCGCUGCGCCUUUAAGAAGCAAGGAAGUGCUUGUUUACAAUAAUACGGACUUGCAGCAAAAGCCACUGCUGUUAACAGGUCACCAUGGCGACAUAAAUGCCAUGACCUUUGGUAAAAGAAACAUACCUGUGCUUCUUUGCUCCGCCUCUGCGGAUUACGUCAUUGUUUGGGAUGUGGAAAAUUGUCAGAGGAAAAUACAAGAGGGUGAAAUCGCAACAGGACUGGUUAUUGGGACUUUGCUGGGUGAAGUUAUCCAUCUCUCAUUCUGUUUCUCUGAUGAAAGAGUGGCUGCAUGCUCAGGUGCAGUCAUAUAUGUUCUCAACUCAAAGAAGCAGAAAGUCAUUUGCACAUUGACCGGCCACCUGGGACCUUUAACAUCGGCAGAGUUCUGUCCCUGGGACAGAAAUAUUCUUGUCAGCACAUCAGAGGAUCGCACCUUUAAGGUUUGGGAUUUAAAAACUGAAGCGGUUCUCUACCAGUCAUUUGUGCUUUCAGCAUCGCCUCUGCUUAGUGCGCUGUUUCUAGAAAAGAACAGGCAUCUUAUCACCGGCUCAGCUGAUGGACAGGUGUGGUGCUUCUCUUUUGACAAUGACCACAAGUGCCGCUUGGUGACAAAAAUGGACCUUCUGAAAAUGGAAAGAAAACAUCAAGAAUGCCAGAAGACUUUGAGCCAUCACAAAGGGGUUUGUGAACAGUUGGUGGCUGAUAAAGUGGAGCUCUCAAAACCUGUUGUCCAAAUGUCUUCAUGCAGCUCAUUUAUAGACCUCGAUUCUCAGAAAAACACAGACAACAGCUGGUUUUGUGUAGGGAGCACUGACGGUCUGUACGUGGUGGACCCGGAUACCUCCCAACUCCUAACAGUGCUGCAUUUCAAAGAUAACUCUGAUCUGAGCAUCGCCACAGCUGGGUCAUGGUCCUUCUCUCUAGGGUGUGAUAAGUCUAUGGUGGCUUUAGUCAGCUCUUUGUUUACUCCAUGUGUGGUUUUACUGGAGAUGUUUCUGGCGCACCUGCAGAGGUCUGAGGAAAACGAUGAAGGCUUCUCUGUGUUUCCAAGUUCUUCUCCUCUGCCUGAAUCCCCCUUGAAUGCUGUUCUCAAGAAUAAGGAACCCAAUCAUCCCCAAAAGAAAGGAAUAAAAGAAACGCCACUGGUUUUUCACUCAAAGGUGAAGUCAUCUGGAUAUACUAGCGCUCCAAGGAGAUUUAUGUUUGCUCCCAAAAUAAAUGUUAAGAAAACAUCUCCCGCUAAAAAGACAACAGGAAAUGGGGGUUUCCUCCACAGCAGUUACCCAGCAGGCAGUGUAGCCCCAACUGUGCCGAGUAUUGAUCUCAGCGUUGUCAACAAACAAGUCUCGUGCCUUCAGUACUCAGGUGAUGGAAAACAAAUCCUGUGUGGUCUUGGCGACUGCUCACUGUUUUUGUACAAGUCAUCUCUUGCUGGAUGUCCGACUGUCUAUAGAGGUCACGACAAGCCAGUGAGCAGUGUGAGCUGGAGCCUCAGCAGACAGUGGUUGCUGAGUGCAUCAGAUGAUCGGUCGGUUCGAAUCUGGACCAAUGGCAGCUCCGUGCCAGCUAUUACCAUGGGUGACAACAUGUUCUCCAAACCUGUUAGAGGAGCUCAGUUUUAUUAUCUUGACAAAUUUCUUCUCUUGGCAUCUGGACCCGCUCUGUACCUGUACCUGUAUGAUGUGGACACAACUCGUGAUGACAUCAAAACAUACAAGCAGCGGAGUGUCUUCAAACUGGCAAGUUGCAUAACCACAUCAACAGGCAUCACUGCACUAUCUGCCAUCAAUGGUUUCCUGUCAUAUAUUGUUCUGGUGUCUGGUUCUGAUCGCUCCAUUCAAGUUCUGGACAUGAACAAAGGCUCAGUUGCCUCUGUUUUGCCUGAUGCCCACAGCAGAGCCACCCACUGUAUAACGCAGAACAAGGGAUCUGCGUUCACUGGACAGACCCCAGAGUCCUACAACCUUUUCCUCUCCAGUGCAAUCACAGAUGGUGUAAAGCUUUGGGACCUUCGCACACUGAGGAAACCAAGCUGGAGCUGGCCACGCCCAUCCCUUCUAUGCUCUGGUUGCUAUUGGCUGAGAAGCUCUGAUAUCCAGGAGGGGCUUGUAGUAGAUCCACUGCUCCUCCAGCAAAAGCUCUCUUGUGUGUACGUCGCUAUGAGAACCACGUAAAUCGCUGCCACCCAUGCUCCUCAGCCUUCUCACCUUGUGGACGCUUCAUUGUUUGUGGUUCUGAGGAUAAAUGUCUGUUAACUGGAACCCUGGAUGGGAAACUGAGACUGUUUCAGUGCAGCACCGGGUCCCGUUUGUCUUGUGACACCAGUGCUGCUGUGGACCACAUCCCCAACGUGACUGCGUGAUUACAGCAGACCCACUGCAAAGACCAUGCAGCUUUCAUUAAGGCAGCGAAAACCCACAGGCAGGGAUUUCCAUAGGAACAAAGACUUUAAGAAUUUGGUUAUGCUGUUGUUGGUUUAACAGAAUUAAAACCAGGUACAAGUUAUUCAUCUUCUACAUUCAAAUGCGUCAGACUUUCAAAUAAAGCAACGCGUCAUCGCUCGGUC
Molecule: RNA transcript, 3035 nt
Organism: Nothobranchius furzeri (turquoise killifish)
Lineage: Eukaryota; Metazoa; Chordata; Actinopteri; Cyprinodontiformes; Nothobranchiidae
Gene: wdr27
Gene name: WD repeat domain 27
Source: RefSeq, a predicted model, not a curated record